Non-coding RNA from Hordeum vulgare subsp. vulgare (domesticated barley), 125 nucleotides. Lineage: Eukaryota; Viridiplantae; Streptophyta; Magnoliopsida; Poales; Poaceae. The record is from Rfam.
UAUAUACUCCUUCCGUCUGAAAUUACUUGUCAUCCAAAUGGAAAGAAAUGAUUGUAUCUAGAACUAACAUAUAUCUAGAUACAUCUAUUUUCAUGACAAGUAAUUCCGAACAUAGGGAGUAGUUU